AGCGGCUGGAGUUGGGGCAAUUAACAAUCCCCUCGCCUUUUACUAGGGGAUUCCGUGUCCCAACUUCACUUCGAAGCCGUAUCAGCAAUUUUUCAGAACAUCGCUUCGUCGCGAAGC
RNAcentral lists this small nuclear RNA (117 nucleotides) under Grifola frondosa (maitake). Its description in RNAcentral is "U5 spliceosomal RNA". It matches the Rfam family "U5 spliceosomal RNA". Rfam says of the family: U5 RNA is a component of both types of known spliceosome. The precise function of this molecule is unknown, though it is known that the 5' loop is required for splice site selection and p220 binding, and that both the 3' stem-loop and the Sm site are important for Sm protein binding and cap methylation. Lineage: Eukaryota; Fungi; Basidiomycota; Agaricomycetes; Polyporales; Grifolaceae. The record is from Rfam by way of RNAcentral.